AAAAUUAUUGUGAGACAAAAUUGACUUUUGUGAGACAAAAUUGACAAUAUUGAAUUUUGUCUCACAAAAGUCAAUUUUGUCUCACAAAAGUC
This 92-nucleotide small RNA is filed under the name Mytilus galloprovincialis (Mediterranean mussel). Lineage: Eukaryota; Metazoa; Mollusca; Bivalvia; Mytilida; Mytilidae. The record is from RNAcentral.